RNAcentral lists this ribosomal RNA (532 nucleotides) under uncultured Acidobacteriota bacterium. RNAcentral's name for it is "bacterial SSU rRNA". It matches the Rfam family "Bacterial small subunit ribosomal RNA", at positions 13 to 529 of the family's 1533-position model. The record is from RNAcentral. Lineage: Bacteria; Pseudomonadati; Acidobacteriota.
UUGAUCCUGGCUCAGAAUCAACGCUGGCGGCGUGCCUAACACAUGCAAGUCGAACGCGGUUAGUAGCAAUACUAACUGAGUGGCGAACGGGUGAGUAACUCGUGGGUGACCUACCUUCGAGUGGGGGAUAACGUCCCGAAAGGGACGCUUAUACCGCAUAACAUCCUGCCUUUGAACAGGCGGUGAUCAAAGCCGGGGAUCGUAAGGCCCGGCGCUUGAUGAGGGGCCCGCGUCUGAUUAGCUAGUUGGUGAGGUAAUGGCCCACCAAGGCGACGAUCAGUAUCCGGCCUGAGAGGGCGUACGGACACACUGGGACUGAGACACGGCCCAGACUCCUACGGGAGGCAGCUGUGGGGAAUUGUUCACAAUGGGCGCAAGCCUGAUGACGCAACGCCGCGUUGAGGAUGAAGGUCUUCGGAUUGUAAACUCCUGUUGCCCGGGACGAAAAGUCUCGACCUAAUACGUCGAGGUCUGACGGUACCGGGUGAGGAAGCCCCGGUUAACUCUGUGCCAGCAGCCGCGGUAAUAAGGU